UACCAUGGGUUAGGCAGAAGCCAGCAGGCAGAGCAAGGAUCUUAAACCAACACCAGGCUAAGAGAGGUUAAAGUGCUUGCCCAGUAUCAUGGAGUAAGGGACAAUCAGAACUGGACCUCUCGUGGGCUGACUUCUCAGUCAGAGGCAGUGUGAUCUUGAGCAAGUUACGGAGCCUCUCUCUGCACUUCAGUUUCCUCCAACGGAAGUAAUAACGGCUCCAUACCAGGGAGAACUAAAUGAGAUAAAGGUAAAAGGGUCAGCAGCUUUUGGCACUUGGUAAGUGCUCAGUAAAUGUUAGUUUCCAUCAACCCCUCCUCCCAUAGUUUCCCACGCACUCCCUAGAUUUGCCCACUUUCUAUGCAAUGCCAGGGGCUCCUUUGGCACUAUCCCGGGACAGGGGGGAGGGGGUGGGUGGCUGCUCGGACUCACCGUUGUGGCUGGCGUAGCCCCACUCCUUUGCCAUGGUCGUCUUUGUGGGCACUGGACCGCAGCUGACUUCUCUCCCCGGCGUCGUGCAGAGUCCCCGCGAGCCCGCGCCUUUUAUAUAGGUCCCCCACACACUGCAUGGCCUUAUUAGGUCAGUGAGGGUGGGGCGGGGGGCUAAACUGGAUUGGGGUGGUAUUUGGGAGGCGCGGUGGGGGGAAGCCAAUGAAUUCCAAGAGCUAGACAGCUGUUGGGCUCCGAGGGGAGAUGGGCGAAGGCCCCCACCCCCUCCCUACCCUCUCCCUGAAACCGCGGCUCCUGGCUCUGCUAACUCUCCCUCCGUCUCCCAAAGCUGCAGGGCUUUCUAACUAGUGUUGCCGAGGUGCAAAAAUGCGGGCAACUUUUGUUUCCUCCUCCCUGCCUCCCUCCUGCAGGCUUUUUGUUGUUGUUGUUUCGGGAGGUGGGGUAUCCUAACUGUGCUUAGCCACCAAAUAAAAUGUGCACCCCAGCAGCGCUUGCAGCCUCACUUCGAAGUUGCUUUUAGCCCAGGCUGGUUGUCUGGCUGCGGUCUGUGGACGCUUCUGGGAGUUUGUUUCGUUCCAGCGAUCCGGUUACGGUGGCUGGAAAGAACACGUUUGUUUGCCUGACCCGUGUUUGACUCCCUUGCAGACAACUUGUAAAAUGUUAGGAGCAGAGGAUGGGAAGAAAGAGGCCGGAGGGAAGGUUCUAUAACUCCGCUAUCCUUAAAGAUAUUUACAAUGCCCUGUCUUUGGAACCGCCCCAGGCAGCAUUUCCCAACCUAGCGAGUCCCUUUGGUCUGCAGGACGGUGAGGGCUGGAUCUUGGAGAGCUCCGGGAAUCCGGGAGAGGUCUGCAUCCUAGGUUCACGCAGAGCAGGAGCCUGGGACUGAUUUACCCCUACUCCGUGAGCCGUACCUCUGCUCACGAAAAGUCGAGAAUAUUCUGGAGUGUUGGAAGGCCACAAACAUAAAGUGAGUCAUAUUGUUUAAAAUGUAGAGCCUCCUUCUCCAAGAAAGAAUGAAAGAUUAGAAGAAAAGGAAGAGGAGAGGCUUCCAGAAUUGCUUUGUGUUUUUCUCUGUCCCUCCCAAGUUGUUUUGGAAUAUGAUGACCCAGGCGAAAGGAGGGUGGAACUGGGAUCAGAACUGAGCCUGAGAGGAACAGCUGGUCAGAUUUUUUCAUCUUUGGCCUAAGUCACAAACUUCCCACAUUGAUAUUUGAUUGAGAGGGCACUGGAGAUAUACUAAGGAUGAAGAGAGAGAGACUGACUGCUCCCACUGAGUGGGUGGUACUGAUGAAAAGCAAGUAGACAAUAACCAUGUGGCUUAUCAGGAAUAAUCCACUGGAGAGACUGGAAAAGAGGCAUCCUCUGUAGGCAUCUGCCAGCAUGGCAUGCAUAUUGAAAUCCCAAUUCAGGAAUGAAAAUCUGAAACCAAGCUAUCUGCUUUUGUGUACUCUGGCACUGCAUCAUUUAAAAUAAUCCAAGAAUGAAAAUAUGAGCUAAGCUGUUUGCUUUUUUAAACAUUGAGCGUGUCAAUCCUGAAAUUCCACUGGACAAGCAUUUACUCUCCACAAAGAGAGAGACAGAGCAUGAACAGGGGAGGGGCAGAGAGAGAGGGAGACACAGAAUCCUAAACGGGCUCCAGGUUUUGAGCUGUCAGCACAGAGCCCGUUGCGGGGCUCAAACUCACAGACCGUGAGAUCAUGACCUGAGCCGAAGUCGGACGCCCAACCGACCGAGCCACCCAGGCACUCCUAAUUUCAGAACAUUUUAAUCACCCAGAUAAAAAAUUCUGUACCCAUUAACAGUCCCUCCCCAUUUCCUCUUCAACCUUCAACCCUAGACAACCAUUAAUCUAUUUUCUAUUUCUACAGAUUUGCCUAUAAUGCGCACUUUGUAUAAAUAGAUUCACUUAAUAAUUUGCUUUCUAUGAAUAUAUUUUUUUACUUAGCAUAAUCGUUUCAAUGCUUAUCCAGGUUGUAGCAUGUAUCAUUACUUCAUUUGUUUUUACUGCCAAAUAAUAUUAUAUAGAUGUACCAUACAUUAUCCAUUCAUCAGUUGACAGACAUUUGAGUUGUUUCCACUUUGGGGCUACUAUAAAUAAUGCAGCUAUGAGCAUUUGCAUACAAGUUUUUGUAUGGACAUAUGUUUUUAUUUCUCUUGGAUGUACACAUAUAUGAGUGGAAUUGAUCGAUCACAGGGUUACUCCGUUUAAUCUUUUGAGGAGUUGUUUUCGAAGGCAGUUGUACCAUUUUACAUUCUCACCAGCAUGGAAGAAGGCUCCAGUUUCUCCGCAUUUUAGCCAAUACUUGUUAUUUUUCAACUUUUUGAUUAUAGCCACUUAUUAUUAUAGUGUGAUGGUGCGUAGUGGUAUCUCAUUGUGGUUUUGAUUUGUAUUUCCAUAAUGACUACUGCUGUUGAGCAUCUCUUAAUGUGCUUAUUUGACCAUUUGUAUACCAUCUUUGAAGAAUGACUAUUCAAAGUAUUUGCCCAUUUUUCAAUUGCAAUAUUUAUGUUUUUAUUGUUGAGUUGCAAGAUGUCUUUUAUAUUCUGGAUGCUAGUUCCUUAUCACAUGUAUGAUUUGCAAAUAUAUUCUCCCAUUCUAUGGAUUGCCUUUUAACUUUUUUGAUAGAUUUUUGAAGCACAAAAAUGUUUACACCUGAUGAAUUUCUAUUUAUUUAUUUCCUUAUGUUGUUCUUGUGCUUUUGGUGUGUCAUAUGUAAGAAACCAUUGCCUAACCCAAGGUUACAAAGGCUUAUGUCUAUAUUUUCUCCUAAGAGUUUUAUAUUUUGCCCUUAAAUUUAGAUCUUUUAUCCAUUUGGAGUUAAUUUUUGUGUAUUGUGUGAGGUAGGGGUCCAACUUUUUUCUUUUGCCCAUGGAUAGCUAAUGGUACCAGCACCAUUUGUUAAAAAGGCUAUUCUUUCUGCAUUGAAUAUUCUUGGAAAAUUGUUGAAAAUCAGUUGAUUAUAGGGGGGUUAAACGUCAGACUCUUGAUUUCAACUCAGGUCAUGAUCUCUCAGUUUUUAAGUUCAAGCCCUGCAUCAGGUUCUGCGCUUACUGUGAGGAGCCUGCUAGGGAUUAUGUCUCUCUCCUUCUCUCUCUGCUCCUCCCCUGCUUGUGCCCUUUUUCUCUUUCUCAAAAUAAAUAAAUGAACUUAAAAAAAAAGAAAA
Long non-coding RNA from Acinonyx jubatus (cheetah), 3611 nucleotides. RefSeq lists it as uncharacterized. Lineage: Eukaryota; Metazoa; Chordata; Mammalia; Carnivora; Felidae. The transcript has 5 exons. The record is from RefSeq and is a predicted model, not a curated record.